CCUACGGGAGGCAGCAGUGAGGAAUAUUGGUCAAUGGCCGAGAGGCUGAACCAGCCAAGUCGCGUGAGGGAAGACGGCCCUACGGGUUGUAAACCUCUUUUGUCGGGGAGCAAAGCGAGUCACGUGUGACUCAUUGAGAGUACCCGAAGAAAAAGCAUCGGCUAACUCCGUGCCAGCAGCCGCGGUAAUACGGAGGAUGCGAGCGUUAUCCGGAUUUACUGGGUGUAAAGGGAGCGUAGGCGGGAGGAUAAGUUGAAUGUGAAAUCUAUGGGCUCAACCCAUAGCUGCGUUCAAAACUGUUCUUCUUGAGUGAAGUAGAGGCAGGCGGAAUUCCUAGUGUAGCGGUGAAAUGCGUAGAUAUUAGGAGGAACACCAGUGGCGAAGGCGGCCUGCUGGGCUUUUACUGACGCUGAGGCUCGAAAGCGUGGGUAGCAAACAGGAUUAGAUACCCCGGUAGUC
Molecule: ribosomal RNA, 459 nt
Filed under: uncultured bacterium
Lineage: Bacteria
Description: partial 16S ribosomal RNA
Rfam family: Bacterial small subunit ribosomal RNA
Source: RNAcentral